GACGAACGCUGGCGGCGUGCCUAAUACAUGCAAGUAGAACGCUGAAGGAGGAGCUUGCUUCUCUGGAUGAGUUGCGAACGGGUGAGUAACGCGUAGGUAACCUGCCUGGUAGCGGGGGAUAACUAUUGGAAACGAUAGCUAAUACCGCAUAAUAGCAGUUGUUGCAUGAUAACUGUUUGAAAGGUGCAAUUGCACCACUACCAGAUGGACCUGCGUUGUAUUAGCUAGUUGGUGGGGUAACGGCUCACCAAGGCGACGAUACAUAGCCGACCUGAGAGGGUGAUCGGCCACACUGGGACUGGGACACGGCCCAGACUCCUACGGGAGGCAGCAGUAGGGAAUCUUCGGCAAUGGACGGAAGUCUGACCGAGCAACGCCGCGUGAGUGAAGAAGGGUUUCGGAUCGUAAAGCUCUGUUGUAAGAGAAGAACGAGUGUGAGAGUGGAAAGUUCACACUGUGACGGUAUCUUACCAGAAAGGGACGGCUAACUACGUG
Molecule: ribosomal RNA, 495 nt
Filed under: uncultured bacterium
Lineage: Bacteria
Description: partial 16S ribosomal RNA
Rfam family: Bacterial small subunit ribosomal RNA
Source: RNAcentral